GACGAACGCGGCGGCGUGCCUAAUACAUGCAAGUAGAACGCUGAAGGAGGAGCUUGCUUCUCUGGAUGAGUUGCGAACGGGUGAGUAACGCGUAGGUAACCUGCCUGGUAGCGGGGGAUAACUAUUGGAAACGAUAGCUAAUACCGCAUAAGAGUAGAUGUUGCAUGACAUUUGCUUAAAAGGUGCAAUUGCAUCACUACCAGAUGGACCUGCGUUGUAUUAGCUAGUUGGUGGGGUAACGGCUCACCAAGGCGACGAUACAUAGCCGACCUGAGAGGGUGAUCGGCCACACUGGGACUGAGACACGGCCCAGACUCCUACGGGAGGCAGCAGUAGGGAAUCUUCGGCAAUGGACGGAAGUCUGACCGAGCAACGCCGCGUGAGUGAAGAAGGUUUUCGGAUCGUAAAGCUCUGUUGUAAGAGAAGAACGAGUGUGAGAGUGGAAAGUUCACACUGUGACGGUUUCUACC
RNAcentral lists this ribosomal RNA (470 nucleotides) under Streptococcus mitis. RNAcentral describes it as "bacterial SSU rRNA". It matches the Rfam family "Bacterial small subunit ribosomal RNA", at positions 28 to 483 of the family's 1533-position model. Lineage: Bacteria; Bacillati; Bacillota; Bacilli; Lactobacillales; Streptococcaceae. The record is from RNAcentral.